RNAcentral lists this non-coding RNA (23 nucleotides) under Arabidopsis thaliana (thale cress). Lineage: Eukaryota; Viridiplantae; Streptophyta; Magnoliopsida; Brassicales; Brassicaceae. The record is from RNAcentral.
AUCUCACGCGUAGUGCUGCUGCA